This 403-nucleotide ribosomal RNA is filed under the name uncultured bacterium. RNAcentral's name for it is "partial 16S ribosomal RNA". It matches the Rfam family "Bacterial small subunit ribosomal RNA", at positions 28 to 526 of the family's 1533-position model. The record is from RNAcentral.
GACGAACGCUGGCGGCGUGCCUAAUACAUGCAAGUCGAACGCAGUGGGGACGGGUGAGUAACACGUGGGUAACCUGGCAUAAGAGGGGAUAACACUUGGAAAAAGGUGCUAAACUGAAAUUGAGUGAUGGACCCGCGGUGCAUUAGCUAGUUGGUGAGGUAACGGCUUACCAAGGCCACGAUGCAUAGCUGACCUGAGAGGGUGAUCGGCCACACUGGGACUGAGACACGGCCCAGACUCCUACGGGAGGCAGCAGUAGGGAAUCUUCGGCAAUGGACGAAAGUCUGACCGAGCAACGCCGCGUGAGUGAAGAAGGUUUUCGGAUCGUAAAACUCUGUUGUUAGAGAAGCGGUAUCUAACCAGAAAGCCACGGCUAACUCCGUGCCAGCAGCCGCGGUAAUUC